GGCAACGGCACCGAAUGGCUGCAGCUCGUGCACGCGGGCCGCCGCCGCCGCCGCUCACUCACCUGAUGGCCCGGUUGGAGGCUCUCGGUGGGAUUCGGUAAACACAGACUUCAGGUUUGACACAGAGGACCGACUCGUACUCAGCCUGACCCUCGGUCGCCAUCUUGACUUUUACUCAGUCGGUGCACGCCGGCGGUGGUGGUGGUGACGGUCACAGAAGUAAAGGCGAGAGACAAAGAUCCUGAGGCGAAGGUUGGGCGUCCGGCUGAGGAACUGGGACAAACUGAUGGAGCAGUUUACGCAGGGAGACCAGGAGCAGAACCAGGUGAUGGAGUAACUGAGCCUCUUCUCUCCGGUGCCUCCGCAACCCCACAAACCAGGGCACAAGGCUCCCAGGCGCCUCUCACAUGCUUCCCCAUCUUGACCGACAUUACGUACCUCUACAUGGCAGCCGCUGCGAUUGCGGAGGUGUCCAAAGUCAAAGGAUAAGGAGUCUGGCCCCACUCGCCUCUUCACUACAAAGCAGAGGUAAGUCUCAUGUCGGCCCCUUGCCCAGCGCAUGUUCUUGUAAUGGUAGAUGAACU
This is a long non-coding RNA of Cyclopterus lumpus (lumpfish), 584 nucleotides long. RefSeq lists it as uncharacterized. The transcript is spliced from 3 exons. The record is from RefSeq and is a predicted model, not a curated record. Lineage: Eukaryota; Metazoa; Chordata; Actinopteri; Perciformes; Cyclopteridae.